This 73-nucleotide transfer RNA is filed under the name Canis lupus dingo (dingo). It matches the Rfam family "tRNA". From Rfam's summary of the family: Transfer RNA (tRNA) molecules are approximately 80 nucleotides in length. Their secondary structure includes four short double-helical elements and three loops (D, anti-codon, and T loops). Further hydrogen bonds mediate the characteristic L-shaped molecular structure. tRNAs have two regions of fundamental functional importance: the anti-codon, which is responsible for specific mRNA codon recognition, and the 3' end, to which the tRNAs corresponding amino acid is attached (by aminoacyl-tRNA synthetases). tRNAs cope with the degeneracy of the genetic code in two manners: having more than one tRNA (with a specific anti-codon) for a particular amino acid; and 'wobble' base-pairing, i.e. permitting non-standard base-pairing at the 3rd anti-codon position. Lineage: Eukaryota; Metazoa; Chordata; Mammalia; Carnivora; Canidae. The record is from Rfam by way of RNAcentral.
GCCUGGCUGGCUCAGCAGGUGGAGCGUGUGACUCCUGAUCUCAGGGCUAUGGGUUCAAGCCCCAGGUUGGGGG